GAGUUUGAUCCUGGCUCAGGAUGAACGCUAGCUACAGGCUUAACACAUGCAAGUCGAGGGGCAGCAUUAUCGAAGCUUGCUUUGAUAGAUGGCGACCGGCGCACGGGUGAGUAACGCGUAUCCAACCUUCCCUAUAGUAGGGGAUAGCCCGGCGAAAGUCGGAUUAAUACCCUAUGUUAUUCGAUGCGGACAUCUAAGUUGAAUCAAAGAUUUAUCGCUAUAGGAUGGGGAUGCGUCUGAUUAGCUUGUCGGCGGGGUAACGGCCCACCGAGGCAACGAUCAGUAGGGGUUCUGAGAGGAAGGUCCCCCACAUUGGUACUGAGACACGGACCAAACUCCUACGGGAGGCAGCAGUGAGGAAUAUUGGUCAAUGGGCGAUAGCCUGAACCAGCCAAGUAGCGUGCAGGAAGACGGCCCUACGGGUUGUAAACUGCUUUUAUGCGGGGAUAAAGUAGCCCACGUGUGGGUUUUUGCAGGUACCGCAUGAAUAAGGACCGGCUAAUUCCGUGCC
RNAcentral lists this ribosomal RNA (511 nucleotides) under uncultured bacterium. RNAcentral describes it as "bacterial SSU rRNA". It matches the Rfam family "Bacterial small subunit ribosomal RNA", at positions 9 to 509 of the family's 1533-position model. The record is from RNAcentral.